This 230-nucleotide ribosomal RNA is filed under the name uncultured bacterium. Its description in RNAcentral is "partial 16S ribosomal RNA". It matches the Rfam family "Bacterial small subunit ribosomal RNA", at positions 28 to 259 of the family's 1533-position model. The record is from RNAcentral.
GACGAACGCUGGCGGCGUGCUUAACACAUGCAAGUCGAGCGGUAAGGCCCUUUCGGGAGUACACGAGCGGCGAACGGGUGAGUAACACGUGGGUGACCUGCCCUCAGCUCUGGGAUAAGCCUGGGAAACUGGGUCUAAUACUGGAUAUGACUCCACGGUGCAUGUCGUGGGGUGGAAAGCCUUGUGCGGCUGAGGAUGGGCCCGCGGCCUAUCAGCUUGUUGGUGGGGGA